Non-coding RNA from Talpa occidentalis (Iberian mole), 141 nucleotides. RefSeq annotates it as small Cajal body-specific RNA 17. The record is from RefSeq and is a predicted model, not a curated record. The transcript has a single exon. Lineage: Eukaryota; Metazoa; Chordata; Mammalia; Eulipotyphla; Talpidae.
GCCCCAAGAUCCCCGACGCUGCCCCCCCAAUGAGCCGACAAUAUUUUCCUUAUAUGAUCGGGCCCCACCGAAGGCGGUGCCGCUUGCUGGAGCCCGAGAGGAUUAUGAAAACGUGGCGAAGUGGGGUCAGGGGACUUGGGC